This 223-nucleotide ribosomal RNA is filed under the name uncultured bacterium. Its description in RNAcentral is "partial 16S ribosomal RNA". It matches the Rfam family "Bacterial small subunit ribosomal RNA", at positions 524 to 745 of the family's 1533-position model. The record is from RNAcentral.
UACGUAGGGUCCGAGCGUUGUCCGGAAUUAUUGGGCGUAAAGAGCUCGUAGGCGGUUUGUCGCGUCUGCUGUGAAAACCUAAGGCUCAACCUUGGGCUUGCAGUGGGUACGGGCAGACUAGAGUGCGGUAGGGGUGACUGGAAUUCCUGGUGUAGCGGUGGAAUGCGCAGAUAUCAGGAGGAACACCGAGUGGCGAAGGCAGGUCACUGGGCCGCAACUGACG